RNAcentral lists this ribosomal RNA (256 nucleotides) under uncultured bacterium. RNAcentral describes it as "partial 16S ribosomal RNA". It matches the Rfam family "Bacterial small subunit ribosomal RNA", at positions 524 to 777 of the family's 1533-position model. The record is from RNAcentral.
UACGGAGGGUGCGAGCGUUGUCCGGAAUCAUUGGGCGUAAAGGGCGCGUAGGUGGCGGGACAAGCGUGCGGUGAAAGCUCGGGGCUCAACCCCGAGUCGGCCGUGCGAACUGUUUUGCUGGAGCACUGUAGAGGCAGGCGGAAUUCCGGGGUGUAGCGGUGGAAUGCGUAGAGAUCCGGAAGAACACCGGUGGCGAAGGCGGCCUGCUGGGGCAGUUGCUGACACUGAGGCGCGACAGCGUGGGGAGCAAACAGGG